GAUGCGACCUCAGCUCAGGCGGGGCCACCCGCUGAGUUUAAGCAUAUCAAUAAGC
This 55-nucleotide ribosomal RNA is filed under the name Cryptosepalum staudtii. RNAcentral describes it as "partial 26S ribosomal RNA". The record is from RNAcentral. Lineage: Eukaryota; Viridiplantae; Streptophyta; Magnoliopsida; Fabales; Fabaceae.